CAGUCGCCACGGUAAUACGUAGGUGGCAAGCGUUGUCCGGAAUUAUUGGGCGUAAAGCGCGCGCAGGAGGUUUAAUAAGUCUGACGUGAAAGCCCACGGCUCAACCGUGGAGGGUCAUUGGAAACUGUUAAACUUGAGUGCAGGAGAGAAAAGUGGAAUUCCUAGUGUAGCGGUGAAAUGCGUAGAGAUUAGGAGGAACACCAGUGGCGAAGGCGGCUUUUUGGCCUGUAACUGACACUGAGGCGCGAAAGCGUGGGGAGCAAACAGGAUUAGAUACCCCUGUAGUCCCUGUCUCUUAUAC
RNAcentral lists this ribosomal RNA (301 nucleotides) under uncultured bacterium. Its description in RNAcentral is "partial 16S ribosomal RNA". It matches the Rfam family "Bacterial small subunit ribosomal RNA", at positions 509 to 807 of the family's 1533-position model. The record is from RNAcentral.